This 1157-nucleotide long non-coding RNA is filed under the name Mus musculus (house mouse). RNAcentral describes it as "predicted gene 28208". Lineage: Eukaryota; Metazoa; Chordata; Mammalia; Rodentia; Muridae. The record is from RNAcentral.
AUCUUGUCUUAUUGACUAUGUGUGCCUGCUAUAUUACAACUGUCUAAGAUUACUUCCAAACUUCUUCCUGUUACAAAUAUUCGGAGACAUUCCUCCAUUCAAGAAAAGUGGCCUUGCUCUUAUGUCAUCUGACUAAAGGUUUCAUAGACCAAAAAUAACCAUCCAACCUGUUGGAAUACUGAAACAAUUGCUGCCUGCUUUCCACACACUACAUAAAAUAUGUGGAUAUCCUAAAUUCUACAAAAAAGAUUUGUAAGCAGAUCAAGCAAUACUGGGACUCCCUCUUCUCCAGAAGACAGAGACAUCCUGGCCUCCAUGCAGAGGAAUGUGUGGAUGGACAUAUAUUUAAGGAAGACACUAAACCAGAAAAUACUACAUUACACCCUCUUAAAAGACUUCUAAGAUUGUUGUCAUGCCUACCACUGACAUUCAGAUGAUGUGUAUUCUUGAUUGUGAUUUCAUGUUUGGAGCUGAUGAAGGAACCCAGGAGAUGAACAUAUGCCUGAGAAGAAGAACUAGUGUGGAAUUGUCAGCCAGGUUUUUGGUGAGUGCUCAGACUCCUUCCUGAUCCGGCACCACAUUUACUACAGUGGACAGAUGUUCUAGUCUCUGAUGAGGAGUUGCUAGCUGUAAGGAAGUACCUGGAAUGGGCUCCACUGCAUGAGGUUUGAAGUCUCCAGAGCAGCAAGGAGAGUGGGGAGUAGAACUCAUCAUCUUUAGGUCACUCAUCCCCGAUGGAUUGUUCCCAACCUUAGUAUACAGACAUGGAUGGUUGAACACAAACCUGUCAGGCUGACAAUGCAAUAGACUUCUACUAAAGUCCUUGGAACCAUGUUCAGAGUGCUGCACAUCCUCCUAAAGAUGCCACGGAUGACAUGGUUCCUUGUGAUUGUUGUUCUCUUCUUGUUGUUGCUGUUUUCUUUUAACUUUUGAAGAGGAUACAUUAUUAGUCUGUUGCUAUGUUAGUCAUCUCCUGGCAUUAGAAACCAACAUGCCACUGCUUAAAUGUUUUACAUUUCCUACUCUUUUUGGAAAACACAAUGUAUGCACAUCAUUUUUUCCUAUUGUUUCAAAGACAUACCACUAUGUAAUUCAACUUUACAAUUGGAAUCAUUUUGACCAAUAUUCACAUGAAUAUAAAUUUUAUGUGUAAACUU